RNAcentral lists this ribosomal RNA (253 nucleotides) under uncultured bacterium. RNAcentral's name for it is "partial 16S ribosomal RNA". It matches the Rfam family "Bacterial small subunit ribosomal RNA", at positions 524 to 776 of the family's 1533-position model. The record is from RNAcentral.
UACGUAGGGCGCAAGCGUUAUCCGGAAUUAUUGGGCGUAAAGAGCUCGUAGGCGGUUUGUCGCGUCUGCCGUGAAAAUCCGGGGCUCAACCCCGGACUUGCAGUGGGUACGGGCAGACUAGAGUGUGGUAGGGGAGACUGGAAUUCCUGGUGUAGCGGUGAAAUGCGCAGAUAUCAGGAGGAACACCGAUGGCGAAGGCAGGUCUCUGGGCCACUACUGACGCUGAGAAGCGAAAGCAUGGGGAGCGAACAGG